UGCCAGCAGCCGCGGUAAUACGGAGGGUGCAAGCGUUAAUCGGAAUUACUGGGCGUAAAGCGCGCGUAGGUUGAUUGGUCAGUCAGAUGUGAAAGCCCCGGGCUCAACCUGGGAACUGCAUUCGAUACUGGCAGACUAGAGUAUAGUAGAGGCAAGUGGAAUUCCGGGUGUAGCGGUGAAAUGCGUAGAUAUCCGGAGGAACAUCAGUGGCGAAGGCGACUUGCUGGACUAAUACUGACGCUGAGGAGCGAAAGCGUGGGGAGCAAACGGGAUUAGAUA
Molecule: ribosomal RNA, 279 nt
Filed under: uncultured bacterium
Lineage: Bacteria
Description: partial 16S ribosomal RNA
Rfam family: Bacterial small subunit ribosomal RNA
Source: RNAcentral